RNAcentral lists this long non-coding RNA (311 nucleotides) under Elaeis guineensis (African oil palm). RNAcentral describes it as "long non-coding RNA (EGUI_LNC046014)". Lineage: Eukaryota; Viridiplantae; Streptophyta; Magnoliopsida; Arecales; Arecaceae. The record is from RNAcentral.
UCUUAACUUUGACUGCUAAUUUAGAUUUUGAUUGUCGAUUUUAGCUUCGAUCAUAGAUCUUUAGCUGUUGGCAUCAGAGUGACACCUAGACAUCAGACGCUGAUCCAAGGAAAAUCCCGACCCCAGUAUCAUCUUUGAUCAAAGAAUCCCUCGCCGAUCCUCACCUCUAGUUGUGGAUUGCAUUCCCCUCAACUAUGCUAGCUACCAUAUUUGGAAAGAUCGACCCCCCAUAUGGUCUCAUCAAGUUACGUCAUUCCAUGUUAGAUCAUGCCACUCCAACAGUUGGCUAUGCAUUGGAUGAGGUCACACCA